CUACGUGCCAGCAGCCGCGGUAAUACGUAGGGAGCGAGCGUUGUCCGGAAUUACUGGGUGUAAAGGGAGCGUAGGCGGGAUCGCAAGUCAGAUGUGAAAACUAUGGGCUUAACCCAUAAACUGCAUUUGAAACUGUGGUUCUUGAGUGAAGUAGAGGUAAGCGGAAUUCCUAGUGUAGCGGUGAAAUGCGUAGAUAUUAGGAGGAACAUCAGUGGCGAAGGCGGCUUACUGGGCUUUAACUGACGCUGAGGCUCGAAAGCGUGGGGAGCAAACAGGAUUAGAUACCCUGGUAGUCCACGCCGUAAACGAUGAUUACUAGGUGUGGGGGGACUGACCCCUUCCGUGCCGCAGCAAACGCAAUAAGUAAUCCACCUGGGGAGUACGACCGCAAGGUUGAAACUCAAAGGAAUUGACGGGGGCCCGCACAAGCAGUGGAGUAUGUGGAUUAAUUCGAAGCAACGCGAAGAACCUUACCAGGUCUUGACAUCGUAUGCAUAGCUCAGAGAUGAGUGAAAUCUCUUCGGAGACAUAUAGACAGGUGGUGCAUGGUUGUCGUCAGCUCGUGUCGUGAGAUGUUGGGUUAAGUCCCGCAACGAGCGCAACCCUUACUGUUAGUUGCUACGCAAGAGCACUCUAGCAGGACUGCCGUUGACAAAACGGAGGAAGGUGGGGAUGACGUCAAAUCAUCAUGCCCCUUAUGACCUGGGCCUCACACGUACUACAAUGGCUGUAAACAGAGGGAUGCAAAGCCGCGAGGUGGAGCGAACCCCUAAAAGCAGUCUUAGUUCGGAUUGUAGGCUGCAACCCGCCUACAUGAAGUCGGAAUUGCUAGUAAUCGCAGAUCAGCAUGCUGCGGUGAAUACGUUCCCGGGCCUUGUACACACCGCCCGUCACGCCAUGGGAGUCGGUAACACCCGAAGCCUGUAGUCUAACCGCAAGGAGGACGCAGUCGAAGGUGGGAUUGAUGACUGGGGUGAAGUCGUAACAAGGUAGCCGUAUCGGAAGGUGCGGCUG
This 1014-nucleotide ribosomal RNA is filed under the name gut metagenome. RNAcentral describes it as "bacterial SSU rRNA". It matches the Rfam family "Bacterial small subunit ribosomal RNA", at positions 501 to 1520 of the family's 1533-position model. The record is from RNAcentral.